CCGCCUGCAAAGUGACUUGAGAGCCCCGCGACGCAGCCUUCUAGAGGAGCAGGGACUUCUCUGGAACACUGGCGUGCGCAGGGAUUAAUCCCACCGUAGAGAGCCAGCCUGGGCUUUGAAGUGUUACAAGGGGAGGGAGGAGUCACAUUGCAGGCCAAGCCAGAUGGGCAAGCAAUACAAGCUGUGAAUUUAUUCUUGACCCCGUAGGACAGUGACCACCAUCAUUUUUUUCUUCACCCUACAGUUAUGCACUGCCAAUAAGAUCCUGGAGCACAGGCCAAGGGUUUUAAUGCAAAAUACCAGAAAAAAAAGUCUGCAACAUCUCCUGUGAGUGGGGGAAGAAAAUAAGAUUAACAAUUGCAUCUUGAAACACUCAUAAUUUGAGGUAAGUGAUUGGAGGGUCUUGUCAUAAGUUACAGUUAGUUUGUAAUUAAAUUAAUCAUUAUUUACCUUGGAGUGUCAUGAUAUUGUUGUUGAAGGCAAUAAAAACAGGCAGGAGAGAGAGG
Molecule: long non-coding RNA, 506 nt
Filed under: Serinus canaria (Common canary)
Lineage: Eukaryota; Metazoa; Chordata; Aves; Passeriformes; Fringillidae
Description: lncRNA (ENSSCAG00000000548.1)
Source: RNAcentral